This is a long non-coding RNA of Lutra lutra (Eurasian river otter), 247 nucleotides long. RefSeq lists it as uncharacterized. The transcript is spliced from 2 exons. The record is from RefSeq and is a predicted model, not a curated record. Lineage: Eukaryota; Metazoa; Chordata; Mammalia; Carnivora; Mustelidae.
UCAGAGGUCAACCUGAGGAGGAUACAGUUGUGACAGAUUCUGGUGUUCGUAAGAAUUGUUUUCUUAUUCAGAGGGGAUACUGCAUCGCGCUCAGUACUGAUUCAGCAUGAAUAGUUCAUCAUUUUUAUAUCGCUGAGAAGUAUGAUUUUCUAUGAACUACCGCUGCUUGUAUAUUCAUUCAUCUGUUUAUGGAUAUCGACUGCUUUCCGGUACUGGUUGUUACAAAUAAAAUCACUACAGACAUUUU